GAUGAACGCUGGCGGCGUGCCUAAUACAUGCAAGUCGAGCGAACAGAUGAGAAGCUUGCUUCUCUGAUGUUAGCGGCGGACGGGUGAGUAACACGUGGGUAACCUACCUAUAAGACUGGGAUAACUCCGGGAAACCGGGGCUAAUACCGGAUAAUAUUUUGAACCGCAUGGUUCAAUAGUGAAAGACGGUUUCGGCUGUCACUUAUAGAUGGACCCGCGCCGUAUUAGCUAGUUGGUAAGGUAACGGCUUACCAAGGCGACGAUACGUAGCCGACCUGAGAGGGUGGUCGGCCAGACUGGAACUGGGCCACGGUCCAGAGUCAUACGGGAGGCAGCAGUAGGGAAUCUUCCGCAAUGGGCGAAAGCCUGACGGAGCAACGCCGCGUGAGUGAUGAAGGUCUUCGGAUCGUAAAACUCUGUUGUUAGGGAAGAACAAAUUUGUUAGUAACUGAACAAGUCUUGACGGUACCUAACCAGAAAGCCACGGCUAACUACGUGCCAGCAGCCGCCGUAA
This 514-nucleotide ribosomal RNA is filed under the name uncultured bacterium. RNAcentral describes it as "partial 16S ribosomal RNA". It matches the Rfam family "Bacterial small subunit ribosomal RNA", at positions 28 to 523 of the family's 1533-position model. The record is from RNAcentral.